This 1296-nucleotide ribosomal RNA is filed under the name metagenome. RNAcentral describes it as "bacterial SSU rRNA". It matches the Rfam family "Bacterial small subunit ribosomal RNA", at positions 189 to 1498 of the family's 1533-position model. The record is from RNAcentral.
AUUGUACAAUGUUCAAAUAUUUAUAGGAUUAAGAUGGGCAUGCGUGUCAUUAGCUAGUUGGCGGGGUAACGGCCCACCAAGGCGACGAUGACUAGGGGAUCUGAGAGGAUGACCCCCCACACUGGUACUGAGACACGGACCAGACUCCUACGGGAGGCAGCAGUAAGGAAUAUUGGUCAAUGGAGGCAACUCUGAACCAGCCAUGCCGCGUGCAGGAAGACAGCCCUCUGGGUCGUAAACUGCUUUUAUUCGGGAAUAAACCACAUUACGUGUAAUGUGCUGAAUGUACCGAAGGAAUAAGGAUCGGCUAACUCCGUGCCAGCAGCCGCGGUAAUACGGAGGAUCCAAGCGUUAUCCGGAUUUAUUGGGUUUAAAGGGUGCGUAGGCGGCUUAUUAAGUCAGGGGUGAAAGACGGUGGCUCAACCAUCGCAGUGCCUUUGAUACUGAUGAGCUUGAAUACACUAGAGGUAGGCGGAAUGUGACAAGUAGCGGUGAAAUGCAUAGAUAUGUCACAGAACACCGAUUGCGAAGGCAGCUUACUAUGGUGUGAUUGACGCUGAGGCACGAAAGCGUGGGGAUCAAACAGGAUUAGAUACCCUGGUAGUCCACGCCCUAAACGAUGAAUACUCGCUGUUAGCGAUAUACAGUUAGCGGCUAAGCGAAAGCGUCAAGUAUUCCACCUGGGGAGUACGCCCGCAAGGGUGAAACUCAAAGGAAUUGACGGGGGCCCGCACAAGCGGAGGAGCAUGUGGUUUAAUUCGAUGAUACGCGAGGAACCUUACCCGGGCUUGAAAGUUAGUGAAUCAUUUAGAGAUAGAUGAGUCCGCAAGGACACGAAACUAGGUGCUGCAUGGCUGUCGUCAGCUCGUGCCGUGAGGUGUUGGGUUAAGUCCCGCAACGAGCGCAACCCCUAUGUUUAGUUGCCAGCACGUUAUGGUGGGGACUCUAAACAGACUGCCUGUGCAAACAGAGAGGAAGGAGGGGACGACGCCAAGUCAUCAUGGCCCUUACGUCCGGGGCUACACACGUGCUACAAUGGAUGGUACAGAGGGCAGCAAGCUGGCAACAGCAAGCGAAUCUCAAAAAGCCAUUCACAGUUCGGAUAGAGGUCUGCAACUCGACCUCUUGAAGUUGGAUUCGCUAGUAAUCGCGUAUCAGCAAUGACGCGGUGAAUACGUUCCCGGGCCUUGUACACACCGCCCGUCAAGCCAUGGAAGUUGGGGGUACCUAAAGUAUGUAACCGCAAGGAGCGUCCUAGGGUAAAACCGAUAACUGGGGCUAAGUCGUAACAAGGUA